This 263-nucleotide unclassified non-coding RNA is filed under the name Hevea brasiliensis (rubber tree). Lineage: Eukaryota; Viridiplantae; Streptophyta; Magnoliopsida; Malpighiales; Euphorbiaceae. The record is from RNAcentral.
GGAAGGACUUCUAUUCUUCCCAAAAAAGUAGAGAUAAAUUAAUUCUGAGGUUUACAAACAUAACAUAUUCAAUACCAAUCUUAUGUUAUAGAAAGAUAAUUACGUGGUAGGACAGUAAAGAUUAGAAUGAUGAAGGGGAUAAUUCAAGUAUUUGGACUUUGUUCACAGGAAAGGAAAUUGGGAUUAGGAAAAGAACAUAUUUACUGGUAAAAUACACAAAAGAAGAGAAAUCAGGUGAUAACAAUUCAAAAAAGGAGUCCUUG